UACGAAGGGGGCUAGCGUUGCUCGGAAUUACUGGGCGUAAAGGGCGCGUAGGCGGAUAGUUUAGUCAGAGGUGAAAGCCCAGGGCUCAACCUUGGAAUUGCCUUUGAUACUGGCUGUCUUGAGUUCGGGAGAGGUGAGUGGAAUGCCGAGUGUAGAGGUGAAAUUCGUAGAUAUUCGGCGGAACACCAGUGGCGAAGGCGACUCACUGGCCCGAUACUGACGCUGAGGCGCGAAAGCGUGGGGAGCAAACAGG
RNAcentral lists this ribosomal RNA (253 nucleotides) under uncultured bacterium. RNAcentral describes it as "partial 16S ribosomal RNA". It matches the Rfam family "Bacterial small subunit ribosomal RNA", at positions 524 to 776 of the family's 1533-position model. The record is from RNAcentral.